GACGAACGCUGGCGGCGUGCUUAACACAUGCAAGUCGAACGGAAAGGCCCUGCUUUUGUGGGGUGCUCGAGUGGCGAACUGGUGAGUAACACGUGAGUAACCUGCCCUUGACUUUGGGAUAACUUCAGGAAACUGGGGCUAAUACCGGAUAGGAGCUCCUGCUGCAUGGUGGGGGUUGGAAAGUUUCGGCGGUUGGGGAUGGACUCGCGGCUUAUCAGCUUGUUGGUGGGGUAGUGGCUUACCAAGGCUUUGCCGGGUAGCCGGCCUGAGCGGGUGACCGGGCAACAUGGGAGCGGGAAUCGGGCCCAACUCCCUACGGGAGGCGCCAUGGGGAAUAUUGCACCAAUGGCGGAAACCUUGAGGAGGCAAACCGCGUGCGGGAUGACGGCCUUCGGGGUGUAAACCCCCUUCGGCUGUGGAGGAGCGUGGAGGAAGGUUAUGGGUAAAGGAGGAACGGCUAAACAACUG
Molecule: ribosomal RNA, 468 nt
Filed under: uncultured bacterium
Lineage: Bacteria
Description: partial 16S ribosomal RNA
Rfam family: Bacterial small subunit ribosomal RNA
Source: RNAcentral